GACGAACGCUGGCGGCGUGCUUAACACAUGCAAGUGGUGCGACGAACCAGGCUUCGGCCUGGGGCGAAGCCGCGAACGGGUGAGUAACACGUGGGCAAUCUGCCCCUUGAUCGGGACAACCCGGGGAAACCCGGGCUAAUACCGAAUGAGGUGGCGACUCAUGAGAGUCGUCACGAAAGGAAGCUUCGGCCUCCGCGAAGGGAUGAGCACGCGGCCCAUUAGCUUGUUGGUGGGGUAAUGGCCCACCAAGGCGACGACGGGUAGCUGGUCUGAGAGGAUGAUCAGCCACACUGGGAUUGAGACACGGCCCAGACUCCUACGGGAGGCAGCAGUGGGGAAUCUUGCGCAAUGCGCGAAAGCGUGACGCAGCAACGCCGCGUGGGGGAAGAAGGCCUUCGGGUUGUAAACCUCUUUCAGUUGGGACGAAGGUUCGGCGGUGAAUAGCCGUCCGGACUGACGGUACCUUCAGAAGAAGCCCCGGCUAACUACGUGCCAGCCGCCGCGGUAA
Molecule: ribosomal RNA, 508 nt
Filed under: uncultured bacterium
Lineage: Bacteria
Description: partial 16S ribosomal RNA
Rfam family: Bacterial small subunit ribosomal RNA
Source: RNAcentral